This 1180-nucleotide long non-coding RNA is filed under the name Sorghum bicolor (sorghum). RNAcentral's name for it is "long non-coding RNA (SBIC_LNC009318)". Lineage: Eukaryota; Viridiplantae; Streptophyta; Magnoliopsida; Poales; Poaceae. The record is from RNAcentral.
GAGUGAAAUAAGUAUUUGGGGUAGAGUAUUUGAGGCGGCCAACGGUACAAGAUGUUGAGCGCUUAUUGGAGAUUGGUCAGCGUCGUGUGUUUCCUAGCAUGCUAGGUAGCAUUGACUGUAUGCAUUGGCACUGGGAAAAAUAUCCUUAUGCAUGGAAGGGUAUGUAUACCUGUGGUGAUCAUGGUGUGCCUACAAUCAUUCUAGAGGCAGUUGCUUCACACGAUCGUUGGAUAUGGCAUGCCUUCUUUGGUGUUGCUGGAUCGAACAACGAUAUCAACGUGCUUAGCCAAUCACAUUUGUUUGUUGAGCAGCUGAGAGGAGAAGCUCCUCGGGUGCAAUAUUCUAUCAAUGGAAGACAAUAUAAUCUUGGUUAUUACCUCGCAGAUGCAUAUAUCCAGAGUGGCCUGUUUUUGUUAAGUCUAUACGUAAACCACAAUGUGAGGAACAUAAACUUUUUGCUGAGAAGCAAGAAGGAGCAAGGAAGGAUGUUGAAUGCGCCUUUGGCAUUUUGCAGUCUCGUUUUUGUAUUUUGCGUCGACCAUUACGUCUCUUUGAGCAAGGGGAUCUUGAUGAUAUCAUGAUUGCUUGUAUAAUUCUCCAUAACAUGAUAAUUGAAGAUGAGAAGGAUAUAGAGCAGACUCCACUUGAUUUGAAUGAGGAAGGCAGCACAUAUACUGUUGAAGAAGCUACAAUCUCUCAUGGAGAAAACCCAGAGGUGGAAGAUGUAAUUAACAGAAAUACCUCCUUACAUGAUCGCGAAGCGUACAAAUACCUCCUUACAUGAUCGUGAAGCGUACAAACAACUUCAGUCUGAUUUGAUAGAUCACAUUUGGCAAAAGUUUGGGAAUUCAUAUAGGCAAAAUAAUUAGGUACAAAUAACUACAAUCAUUUGACUGAUCAUAUUUGCUAAUUUCAAUCUAAUUUGAUUGCUCUAAUAGUAGAUUAGUUUCUCCAUUUUUAUUAUCUUUGUUAUUUUAAAAAAUUCAUUAUUUAUUAUUUUUCUAUACUUGUAGAUGAUGUUGUGCAACCUGAUGGCUUUUGGAGGACUACUUUUGCAACCUGAUGGCUUCUGGAGGACUUAUGAACUACCUGACAUGAUGAAAUGACGAUUUGCAACGCUGGAGGACUUUUGAACUAGCUGUUGUGCAACCUGAUGAGCCACCUUAUUAUUUUACUAUAA